RNAcentral lists this ribosomal RNA (497 nucleotides) under uncultured bacterium. RNAcentral's name for it is "partial 16S ribosomal RNA". It matches the Rfam family "Bacterial small subunit ribosomal RNA", at positions 28 to 507 of the family's 1533-position model. The record is from RNAcentral.
GAUGAACGCUGGCGGCGUGCCUAAUACAUGCAAGUCGAGCGAACAGACGAGGAGCUUGCUCCUCUGACGUUAGCGGCGGACGGGUGAGUAACACGUGGAUAACCUACCUAUAAGACUGGGAUAACUUCGGGAAACCGGAGCUAAUACCGGAUAAUAUAUUGAACCGCAUGGUUCAAUAGUGAAAGACGGUGUUGCUGUCACUUAUAGAUGGUUCCGCGCCGCAUUAGCUAGUUGGUAAGGUAACGGCUUACCAAGGCAACGAUGCGUAGCCGACCUGAGAGGGUGAUCGGCCACACUGGAACUGAGACACGGUCCAGACUCCUACGGGAGGCAGCAGUAGGGAAUCUUCCGCAAUGGGCGAAAGCUUGACGGAGCAACGCCGCGUGAGUGAUGAAGGUCUUCGGAUCGUAAAACUCUGUUAUUAGGGAAGAACAAAUGUGUAAGUAACUAUGCACGUCUUGACGGUACCUAAUCAGAAAGCCACGGCUAACUACGUG